CAUCCUGUGCAACCGCGCGAAAAUCGUUCGAAAGUGGAUAUAUCCCACGAUUCUAGGCGAGUCUUCACAGAGGG
This is a non-coding RNA of Streptococcus pseudoporcinus LQ 940-04, 74 nucleotides long. The record is from Rfam. NCBI's taxonomy places the organism in Bacteria, Bacillati, Bacillota, Bacilli, Lactobacillales, Streptococcaceae.